RNAcentral lists this ribosomal RNA (1176 nucleotides) under uncultured euryarchaeote. RNAcentral's name for it is "bacterial SSU rRNA". It matches the Rfam family "Archaeal small subunit ribosomal RNA", at positions 121 to 1306 of the family's 1478-position model. The record is from RNAcentral. Lineage: Archaea; Methanobacteriati; Methanobacteriota.
AGGGGAUACCCGGGGAAACUGGGGAUAUACCUAUAGACUAUGGAUGCUGGAAUGCUUCGUAGCCCAAAGGUCCGCCGCCUGUAGGAUGGGUCUGCGGCCGAUUAGGUUGUUGUUGGGGUAACGGCCCAACAAGCCUGUAAUCGGUACGGGUUGUGGGAGCAAGAGCCCGGAGAUGGAUUCUGAGACACGAAUCCAGGCCCUACGGGGCGCAGCAGGCGCGAAAACUUUACAAUGCGGGAAACCGUGAUAAGGGAACUCUGAGUGCCCGUAAAAUCGGGCUGUCCAUCAGUUUAAAUAACUGGUGAAGAAAGGGCCGGGCAAGACCGGUGCCAGCCGCCGCGGUAAUACCGGCGGCUCGAGUGGUGGCCACUAUUACCGGGCUUAAAGCGUUCGUAGCUAGUUUGUUAAGUCUCUGGGGAAAUCUUCCGGCUUAACCGGAAGUCGUCUCAGGGAUACUGGCAGACUAGGGACCGGAAGAGGUGCGAGGUACUCCAGGGGUAGGAGUGAAAUCCUGUAAUCCUUGGGGGACCACCUGUGGCGAAGGCGUCUCACCAGAACGGCUCCGACAGUGAGGGACGAAAGCUGGGGGAGCAAACCGGAUUAGAUACCCGGGUAGUCCCAGCCGUAAACGAUGUGCAUUAGGUGUAUCGGUGACCACGAGUCACCGAGGUGCCGAAGAGAAAUCGUGAAAUGCACCGCCUGGGAAGUACGGUCGCAAGGCUGAAACUUAAAGGAAUUGGCGGGGGAGCACCACAACAGGUGGAGCCUGCGGUUUAAUCGGACUCAACGCCGGGAAACUCACCAGAUAAGACAGCUGAAUGAUAGUCGGGCUGAAGACUCUACUUGACUAGCUGAGAGGAGGUGCAUGGCCGUCGUCAGUUCGUACUGUGAAGCAUCCUGUUAGGUCAGGCAACGAGCGAGACCCACGCCAACAGUUGCUAGCUCGUCCUCCGGGAUGGAGAGGACACUGUUGGGACCGCCUCUGCUAAAGAGGAGGAAGGAGUGGGCAACGGUAGGUCAGCAUGCCCCGAAUUAUCUGGGCUACACGCGGGCUACAAUGGGUGGGACAAUGGGUAUCGACACCGAAAGGUGAAGGCAAUCUCCUAAACCCAUCCUUAGUUCGGAUUGUGGGCUGCAACUUCAGCCCCACAUGAAAGCUUGAAAUUCUUGUUAAUU